Molecule: long non-coding RNA, 4648 nt
Organism: Parus major (Great Tit)
Lineage: Eukaryota; Metazoa; Chordata; Aves; Passeriformes; Paridae
Exons: 3
Source: RefSeq, a predicted model, not a curated record
GGGAUGAAAGCAGCACAUCGAACUCCUCCAGUGAUACUGCUGAUGCUUUCUGACAAGCUGUUGAUUGAAAGGAGGGACCCCACAGGCACUUUCUGUUAAGAAGAAAAAGGUAACAGUAAACAUUUUUCCAAUGCAACCCCUUUAAUUUACAAAGCAUGUGCAGAAGUCUGUUUCUUUUAGAGCAGAAGAAAUCAAAUAGGAGUGACAGCAUCUUGGAGCUGGGAACACAUUAUCUUUCAGCCAAAAGUCUCUAGAAGGGUGGGGGAUUUUUCCUGCUCUGAAGACUUCUAUUUUGUCUGCAUAUAGUUGUUAAUUUUUUUUUUUUUCUCUGCUGUCUCUGCAUGUCUUUAACAUUCACAGAAACCACCAGAGAUAGCAAAGGAGCCACUCUGCCUUUGCUGUGAGUCAAAAUCUUUGUUGUUUGAGUGACUUGGUUCCAGAAGGAGGCUGAGCCUUCCUGUAGUAAUGGGAAAUGUCUGUGUCCAGCCCCUGACAUUACAUAUCAUCAUAAUAGCUCUGAAGGUCCAAGGACACAAACGGGGACAGGACUGCAGGUGAAUUUUACAUGAGACCAACCUAUGUAUGCACUUAAAUCUAUGCAUAAAUCUUUGGGAAUCUGAGCUUGUAUUACAGGUCUGAGACAAGCUGCAAUUUUCAUUGUACUGGCUAGAAACAAUUGCUUUGAAAUCAGUUUAUUUUUCAUGCAUUAAUUAUAAUAGCUUAAGGUAAGACACCCAUGGACUACAGAGGGUCUGGUAAGGGGAGAGGUGAUAUACAGCAAGAUAGGAAAUAAUGAGACUGUGAGGAAUUAGGAGAUGAAGGAUGUGUGAAACAUUGCAGGAUGACUUGAAGCAAACAUCUCUGCUUGAUUUGCUGGUUUUUAGUAGCUAGUGGAGGUGAAUACUAUUCCCUAGGCUUAUUUUUGGUAGGUCCCUCUUGAAAACUGCUGAGUGGUGAAGGGGUUAGUUGUUUUAUGAAAUGUGCUCUCUCGAGGAUAGCUGGUUUAAAGGUUGUCUGGGCAUUGGUCGUGGGCUUGCUUAGACACCACUGCACAUCUAGCUAGUCUUCCUCGGGUUCUGCACUGGGCAAAGGAGUAAUAGGAAGUCCAAAAUAUAGUCAUGUGAAUUUUCUUAUGAUUUAAUACUUUUUUCUCGUUGUCCUCUCUGAUUAACUUGUCCAGCCAUCCACAAGUAAUUUUCAGUAUUUCUCUGGACGCAGGAAAAAACAGACAACCAAUUCCCUUCAGAUCAGUUUAGCUACGAGAGGGUGUGAGUGUGGUUGUGGAGGGUGUGGUGCACGCUCAAAGAAAUCAGAUAUCUCCGGGGAACUAAUUAGAGCUUUUAACUGUUGUUGCAAUCUCUUCUAUGGAAGAGAAGUUUUCACAUGAAUAUUUCUUUCAUUAGAGGUGAAAUCAGAUCCUCAUCCCGCACUUGCUGUGUUUGGAGUGCUGCCAAAAAGCUCUUUUAAAAAGGCAUUCCUACCGGAGUAUGUCAUGGGCUAUUCUCUGCUCCCAGCUCAGAUGGGGAACUGGAAUGCAGACCUCCCAGUCACACACUAGUGGUGGCAUUCGGGAGGCUCACGUUGCAAUCUAGAGAAAAUAAGCAUCAAGGCAGAGGCAAUACCACAUGAAAAUGACAGGGAGGAACAAGCAAAAGACAUGUGCUGUCUGUAGGGAGCUCAGCAAAUCCACAGCCCUCCAAACCUGCGUUUAACACGUCCGGUGCUUAAGUCAGUGUAACAACCAGCUGGGAUUUACACACAUGUACUUCUACUAAAAAGUUCUUUUGUAGCUUUUAAAGGCGGUAUCUCCACAAGAGAGUGAGCUGCCUAAAGAGUAGAGUGAAAAGCAAGAGGAGAAGGAAACAUCUGAGCUGAAAAAGGUCCUGGUUAGCAACUUUCUGUGGUGGGUAGAUGACAUGAAAGGAUGGAAAAGCAGGGACAGGACAUUUUCUUCCUAGAGGAAAGAUAUGACUCUUGAGGCCCACAGUGACAGCCCUAUACCAUCUGGCCCUGUAAAAUAUUAUUCCCAGCUAUUUCUAGUGUGUGUAACAUCAUAUUUUCUUCAUAACAUGUGAUAAAAAAAUACUUGGUUGGAACGUGAACUAUUCAAUGGAGAUGGUGGCAGACAUCCCCAUGCCUGCUGUCCCAAUGAACAUUAAAGUUGAUUGUGUUCCUGCAGAGAAGCUGCAUGACAAUUCAGCAGAGAAAGGUGGCUGAGCAUCAAGCAUACCAGGCAUCUCUGGAAAUUAUAUCAUGUUGUUUUCAUUAGUUUCCAAUCUUGGUAAACUGGGAUUGACUAAAUGCUCUGAGGGAGUUCAAAAUGAGAACAGCUGAAUCACAGCAGACUCACUGGAGUGAUCGAAGGCAACAGCAAGCAGAAAUUUGCGUGAGUCAUCGUAAAGAAGAGGCCAGAGAAAAGGGUGGGUGUGCUUUGUACUAAAGUACAUAGCUCUUCUGGGAACAUGAGCUUCUCAGGAGCUUCUGCUUUUCUAUUCUGGUGUAAAUCCAAAGGGAAUCUACUAUUUUCUAUGAAUUGCUCUAGAUAAGGAUGAGUUCUGCUGGAAACAAGAGGUACAGCCCAAGUUCUUACACCCAUUCUGUCCUUCAAUUCAGCUGUUUUUCACCUGCUGCAGAUCUGUGUAAGUGGGACGGCAUCACUCCAGAACAAAGGCCCAGGGCAGGGAAAAAAAUGUACCCAGAGACAUGACAAGACCAUUGCCUUAGCUUCUACCACUGUGAUAUUCCAAAAGUGUAAAGAAGAGGAUCUACUCAUUUUGGGCAGAGGCCAGGAGCACAGUGCCUCCCACAACGGGGCCAUUCCCUGCCCUCACAUUGCACAGCCUUCCUUCCACACCCUGUCUGACCAGUUGUGGCACUCACCCUGCUACACCUCCCACAGCUGCCAUUGCUGGCAGGAAAGGGGACUGCCAAGAGGGAGUUGACUUGGUAGGUGGAUUAAUGGAUUUUUUUCCUACUUUUUCUUUGUGUAGACUGAGGGAUUGGCAAUGCCACAAAGAGAGCUGGUCUGAAUCCCACAAAACAGUGUCUCAGCACCUUCACAUUUUGACAGUAGCCCCACAGCCUUUGUAAAACUGUGUUGUCUACUUUACAGUAACUAUUUGCUUGCUGAAUACAGCCACCACCAAGCCUUUGCUUGAAAUCCUUGAAGGAAAUUAGUUGUCCCAUCCUCUGUAUCCCUUGGUUGUUUCUAGAAGGGUGUGUGUGGUACCCUGCUAUUCUCAAACUAAUUAAUAGCUCCUGCUGCUCACCUCUGGUGGAGACAGCAUGCUGACACUGCUCCCAAAUGUCCUUCUGUUGGAAUCAUCUGGGUGAAAUGACUCACUUUAAAUAAUCUGUCAUCUUGAUAAUUUGUGUCCUUUUAACCCCAGAAGAUUUGGGAUGAAUACCUGCCCUGGUAAUCUGCCAGCACACAGGGGCUGAGCCCCUGAGUGCUCACUCACACACUCCCUGCUGCUGAGCACCUGGCAGCAUGUUGAGGGACUCCUUCAGUGACUCCAAAGGCCUCCUCUGACCAGGCUCCUGCGGAAUUUUCCACUUAGGGCACUCCUCUACAAGGUAUCAUGCUUCCACAGCAUGGUCCAAGCAGGGAUCUCAAAGCUCUGUAUAGAUAGAAAUCAGCACCAUCUCAACAGUGACCUUCCCAGCCCCAGCUUGGAAGCCACAGGACCCCCAGCUGCUCCCAUAACUCACCUCCCCUCUGCCUUUCUCUGUCUUCCCAUGUUUAUUCCUUUUGGUGUUCUUUUUGCCAGAGGAAGAGUGCCAGCACGAUCACAAACUUGUCUUCCCUGUGGCCAGGCACCUCCACAUUCAAAGGAAGUAAACUGUGCUAAUGUUUACAAGAAAUAUUUUAAUUCCAAUGUGUGAAACCAUCCUCUUGACAACAUCUUUCUGUGGCUAAGCAUUAAAAUGUUUAUUCAGACUGGGCCAAGAUCUAUUUCAAGUCAAAACCCCAGAGUCAGACAUUCCUGCAUUCUCCAACAGCAUUCCCUCAAGCUGACUGUGACAGGGCAAAGCUGGCUGUUGUCUGGGGACAGAAAUUCUCUCCUGCUCAUGCAUUGUCCCCUUGCUUCUGAAAAGUGCUGCACAGUCACAGUAAGUGAUGGCUCACUAGAUAAGAAGCUGCUCUGCAUGUGAAUGAGUGUCCAGCACUUUCAGGAAACUGUGAGAUGGGCAGUUCCCCUUUUUAAUGCUCUUUGAUGACCAAUAAAAAUGUCAAAAUAUGUGCACCAGCUGCCUUCAGCUAAGCAUUGGAUUUACCUGCAUAUUCCCACCAAUCUUCAAGUGCAGAAAAUUAUCUCAUGAAAGUUUACUUCAUUUCUAGUUGAGCUGUUUCUAAAUGUGAAAAAUCUAGUGUCUAAUGAUGUAUGAGCUGGAUUUUUUUCAGUUUUGGUUUGUUGUGUGGUUUUGUUGGUGUUUUUUUUAACCACAUUAUUAGAUUUCUCCCAGAAAGUUUCUCUUUGUGGUCUUAUGGUAUGGAUAAUUUUCUGGGUAUUAUGGUAUGUGUCUUCCCAGAUGAGUCUAGGGAAUAAAAUCACAUGAACAAACAGAAGUAUAAUUACAUAUUCCUGCACCUUCUAUAUAUAUGUAAGCAUUUGAUGUGUGUAUAAAAAUAUGAGGCUUGCAUUGA